RNAcentral lists this non-coding RNA (486 nucleotides) under Perkinsus marinus ATCC 50983. RNAcentral's name for it is "Eukaryotic small subunit ribosomal RNA". It matches the Rfam family "Eukaryotic small subunit ribosomal RNA", at positions 1 to 490 of the family's 1831-position model. Lineage: Eukaryota; Perkinsozoa; Perkinsida; Perkinsidae. The record is from Rfam by way of RNAcentral.
CACCUGGUUGAUCCUGCCAGUAGUCAUAUGCUUGUCUCAAAGAUUAAGCCAUGCAUGUCUAAGUAUAAGCUUUAAACGGCGAAACUGCGAAUGGCUCAUUAAAACAGUUAUAGUUUAUUUGGUGAUCGAUUACUAUUUGGAUAACCGUAGUAAUUCUAGAGCUAAUACAUGCGUCAAGGCCCGACUUCGGAAGGGCUGCGUUUAUUAGAUACAGAACCAACCUAGGCUCCGCCUAGUCCUUGUUGGUGAUUCAUAAUAACCCGGCGAAUCGCACGGCUUGUCCGGCGAUGGACCAUUCAAGUUUCUGACCUAUCAGCUAUGGACGGUAGGGUAUUGGCCUACCGUGGCGUUGACGGGUAACGGGGAAUUAUGGUUCGAUUCCGGAGAGGGAGCCUGAGAAACGGCUACCACAUCUAAGGAAGGCAGCAGCGCGCAAAUUACCCAAUCCUGAUACAGGAGGUAGUGACAAGAAAUAACAAUACAGGG